This 145-nucleotide unclassified non-coding RNA is filed under the name uncultured Phaeohelotium. RNAcentral's name for it is "sequence contains ITS2". The record is from RNAcentral. Lineage: Eukaryota; Fungi; Ascomycota; Leotiomycetes; Helotiales; Helotiaceae.
AAACCAAUCCAGCUUGCUGGGUCUUGGGCUUUCGCCCCUGGGCGGGCCUCAAAAUUAGUGGCGGUGCUGCCAGGCUCUAAGCGUAGUAAUUCUUCUCGCUACAGGGUCCUGGCGGAGGCUUGCCAUCAACCCCAAAUAUUUCAAA